Molecule: ribosomal RNA, 251 nt
Filed under: uncultured prokaryote
Description: partial 16S rRNA
Rfam family: Bacterial small subunit ribosomal RNA
Source: RNAcentral
ACAGAGGCGGCGAGCGUUGUUCGGAUUUACUGGGCGUAAAGGGUGCGUAGGCGGUUCUGUUUGUCGGAUGUGAAAGCUCACAGCUCAACUGUGGAAUUGCAUUCGAAACUACAGGGCUGGAGUACAGGAGAGGAGAGCGGAAUUCUCGGUGUAGCGGUGAAAUGCGUAGAUAUCGAGAGGAACACCGGUGGCGAAGGCGGCUCUCUGGACUGAUACUGACGCUGAGGCGCGAAAGCUGGGGGAGGAAACAG